Labrus mixtus (cuckoo wrasse) is the source of this 957-nucleotide long non-coding RNA. RefSeq lists it as uncharacterized. The transcript is spliced from 2 exons. Lineage: Eukaryota; Metazoa; Chordata; Actinopteri; Labriformes; Labridae. The record is from RefSeq and is a predicted model, not a curated record.
UCGCAAUGUUCCUUUACGGUGUUUGAUGUGAAUGAGAUACAGCUAUUAUCGCCACCUACUGGCCUGGCAUGCUUAUGUGAGCGUUUUCCAUCUUUUUUGCGUUGCCAUGUGGACUGAGAGAUUUUUUAAAAACUGCUGGUGUGGACGGGAUUUUUUUUGCAACCGGAGGGGGAGGAAACGGGUUUUUAGAAAUAUCCGUAUACGUGUGGACGUGGCCUCAGCUUCUCUGUGCUGCAGCAGGUGAGAAGCUGGAACAUCACUGUACCUAAAACAGUGACUGCAGUGGAGGGGAGCUGUGCUGUGGUACCAUGUCAGACAAAAGCUCAUGUCCGGGUCACCUGGUAUCAAUACAAUAAGAUGUAUUAUCCUGUGGUGUAUGACAGAUAUCCUCCUACAGUGGAACAACAGUUCAGAGGACGCACCUCAGUAAAGGGAGCAGCCACAGAGGGUAGCUGCACCCUGAAGAUUAAAAAUUUAAGAAGAACAGACAACAACCUUAAAGUCUAUGUGUGGAUCAGUCCAGACUCAAUAACAAGUCAGAAAUUCUUUGAUCGAACUGUUACGAUCAAUAAAUAGAGCACUUGACUCUGAAACCUUAAGCAAAAGAAGAUGGGGAUUGGCUUGGCAACCUUGCAGUAUUUACUGCCAUGGUUUAUGUGGAACACAGUUGCCAUUGUUGUUUGUUUAUUCUUGCAAAUAAUAUUCCUAAUGUUGCUGACUACAACUAAAGGCUACAAAAAUGCUGAUCCUAUAAACACCACAAAUUUGAAUAUGUCACUUAUGAAAUACAUUUGUACACUGUAAGAAAACAAUCGUACCUAAUGUGAAAACACCUUUAAAUAAUUUUAUAUUUACUGUCCUUCAGUUUCACUUGGAAAAAAAAUACAAAUGCUGACUUUGAGUAAGAAUUAAAGUGCUUUUUUCACAAUUGUGUUAUGAUUAGAAAUGUAAUUUAUA